This 6403-nucleotide unclassified non-coding RNA is filed under the name Bactrocera tryoni. RNAcentral describes it as "protein groucho, transcript variant X2". The record is from RNAcentral. Lineage: Eukaryota; Metazoa; Arthropoda; Insecta; Diptera; Tephritidae.
UCUGAGAGCAAUCAUUCUGUAGUGAACUUCAUUGAGUACCUCGUGCGUCUAAAUUUACGUUGUUUUGAUUCAAAUUAAAUAAAUUAUUAUAUAGUGUUUGCGAAUUUCCGACAGUAUUAAGUAAAUGUGAGAUGAUGGAUAGAUUUCCUAGAAUAUGGCGUGAUUAAGAAAAACUGAACGCUUUAAUUUGCGAUGGCCUAAGUUAAGGAUAGGCGUUUGCUUGUCAUAUAUUUUAAUUCGUGAACAAUAAAAUAAUAUACACAUCAUAAGUGUAUAACUAUAAAUUUAUUUGCUUAAGUGCAAAGCUAAACAUUUAUAAUAUGAGCAAGAAAUGUGCAGGUAAAAAUUUCGCGAAAAAUAUAAAUGCAAAAAAUUACCACCACAGCAAAACGCCAUUAGUGCCGCUUUUCUAGAGUUGCCAACACCACAAGUUAACCAUUACGAUGAUUUGGAACGCAAAGGUCCCAUGGAACGUAACUAAAUAAAUUUUAUUAUAAACUCAAGCUAAAAUACUUAAAAAAUCUCAAUGAAAAAACUGAGCAAAUAAAGUUUUCUCAGUAAGGAAGCGCAAGCACCCCAUAGUGCAAGAAAGUGUGCAAGACAAGACGGCAAAAGGAAAGAAGGAAGGCGCAGGGUGCUUCAGGGCUAGAAAGCGUAAAGAAGCCUAUAAGUCCAACUUGCUGGACGAACGAUUACAUUAUAAACGUUCCAACACUUGUGAAUCAAUUACUGUGGAAUAAACAAUUUUAGAUGAAAUUUAAUGGUUAAAUCGUGGAAAAAGUGGCGGAGUCUCCGGUUCAAACCAUAGUUAAUCAACAGUGGUAGUGGUGUAAGGUGUGUGCAUCCGGCUUUAAAGUUUAUUCAAUAUACUAAACGGAGUAAUAUCAUACAUUCGCUAGAAAACGACAAGUGGUUCAACUAAAUAAUAAUUUAACAAUAUAUUAUAAAUCUGCACUUCAAAGUUUUUGGUAAGCGGGAAAUUUACAGCACAAUUGAAUCUGCUCUCUACCGCAAAAGCCGCAACAGUAGAGCAAGAGUAACAGCAGCAGUUGUGUGGUGUAGUGCGCAAAAUGUAUCCUGCACCGGUGCGUCAUCCCUCGGCGGGGGGACCACCACCUCAGGGUCCACUAAAAUUUACAAUCGUUGACACACUAGAACGAAUUAAGGAGGAGUUCAACUUUCUGCAGGCACAAUAUCAUACAUUAAAACUGGAGUGCGAAAAACUUGCCAAUGAAAAAACAGAAAUGCAGCGCCAUUAUGUUAUGUACUACGAAAUGUCAUAUGGCCUUAAUGUUGAAAUGCACAAACAGACGGAAAUCGCCAAACGUUUAAAUACCUUGAUAAAUCAGCUGCUACCAUUUCUACAAGCCGAUCAUCAGCAGCAGGUCUUAAAUGCAGUGGAGCGCGCGAAACAAGUUACGAUGCAGGAAUUAAAUCUGAUCAUCGGGCAUCAGCAUCAGGGAAUUCAACAACUUCUACAGCAAAUACACGCACAGCAAGUGCCCGGUGGACCACCGCAGCCAAUGGCUGGUUUAGCGCCACUAGCUGGCCCAUUUGGUGCACUGGGCGCGUCAAUGGGUCUCCCACAUGCACCACAGGGCCUGCUUAAGGCACCAACAGAUCAUCAUCGACCCGAUAUCAAACCAACUGGUCUCGACGGGCCGGCCGGCGCUGAAGAGCGUCUACGGAAUUCAGUGUCCCCAGCUGAUCGUGAGAAAUAUCGCACACGUUCACCAUUGGAUAUUGAAAAUGAUUCGAAGCGUCGAAAAGACGAGAAACUACAAGACGAUGAAGGAGAGAAAAGCGAUCAAGAUUUAGUCGUAGAUGUUGCAAAUGAAAUGGAAUCCCACUCGCCACGUCCGAACGGCGAACACAUGUCGAUGGAAGCGCGUGAUCGUGAAAGUCUGAACGGUGAACGUCUCGAUAAACCGGGCAGCAGCGGUGUCAAACCGCCUAAUGAACGACCUCCAUCACGUUCCGGCUCCAGCUCGUCACGCUCAACUCCCAGCCUAAAAACUAAAGAUAUGGACAAGCCAGGCACACCGGGCGCCAAGGCACGCACUCCCACCCCAAAUGCUGCCGCACCAGCUCCGGGCGUAAAUCCCAAACAGCUGAUGCCACAAGGCGGUCCGCCGCCUGCCGGUUAUCCAGCCUCAGCGUAUCAGCGACCUGCUGACCCCUAUCAGAGGCCACCAUCCGAUCCGGCAUAUGGGCGACCGCCACCACUACCUUACGAUCCGCAUGCGCACGUACGAACAAAUGGCAUUCCACAUCCCCAAGCGUUAACUGGUGGAAAGCCCGCAUAUUCGUUCCACAUGAAUGGCGAAGGCAGCUUACAACCGGUGCCGUUCCCAUCCGACGCACUAGUUGGUGUUGGCAUACCACGACACGCCCGACAAAUAAAUACACUAUCACACGGUGAGGUAGUGUGCGCUGUUACCAUUUCGAAUCCCACGAAGUAUGUGUACACAGGUGGCAAGGGUUGCGUUAAAGUUUGGGACAUCUCACAGCCGAAUAAUAAAAAUCCAGUCAGCCAAUUGGACUGUCUGCAACGUGACAACUACAUACGCUCCGUGAAAUUACUGCCUGACGGUCGUACGUUGAUUGUGGGCGGUGAGGCGUCCAAUCUCUCCAUAUGGGAUUUGGCCAGUCCAACGCCACGCAUUAAAGCCGAAUUGACAUCCGCAGCGCCGGCUUGUUAUGCGCUCGCUAUUAGUCCUGAUUCGAAGGUGUGCUUCUCGUGCUGUAGCGAUGGUAAUAUCGCGGUGUGGGAUUUGCACAAUGAGAUAUUGGUGCGCCAAUUCCAAGGACACACUGACGGCGCCUCAUGCAUCGACAUCAGUCCGGAUGGUUCGCGACUGUGGACCGGUGGUCUUGACAAUACGGUGCGUUCGUGGGAUUUACGCGAAGGCCGCCAAUUGCAACAGCAUGAUUUCAGUUCUCAAAUAUUCUCCCUGGGCUAUUGUCCGACAGGCGAAUGGCUCGCUGUGGGUAUGGAGAACUCACAUGUCGAAGUAUUGCACGCAUCCAAGCCAGACAAAUAUCAACUGCAUCUACACGAAAGCUGUGUACUCUCGUUACGUUUCGCCACCUGUGGCAAAUGGUUUGUCUCCACUGGCAAGGAUAAUCUAUUGAAUGCCUGGCGAACACCAUACGGUGCAAGCAUAUUCCAGUCGAAAGAAACUUCAUCCGUACUUAGCUGCGACAUAUCAACCGAUGACAAAUACAUUGUGACGGGCUCCGGCGACAAAAAAGCAACGGUUUACGAAGUUAUUUACUAAUAAGUUCUAAUUUGUUUAAUUUUGCUAUAAACCUAUAAGAAGAAAUGCUAAGUUUUCUUUUGUGCAAAACAAUUAUAUUACCACCCAGAAGCGAUCAUACAUACCCACACAUACACAUAUACAAUGGCAAAGAAACUGGUGAAAAUAAUAAGUUGCGAAAAUGUGUAAAAUGUAUGAGCGCGCAAACGCGAAUGUCGUGCCGACAGAGCAAUGAAAAAUGAAUAGUUCGCUUUGUAGUAGUGGCUUUUGAUAGGACUCACGAAAAGCUAAGCAAAACAAAAUAAAACAAACACAACACAAGAAAGAAAGAAAGUAAGAAAAAUGCAGAAACAAGAUUGUGCAGAUAGUUUGGGUUAGGAGGGACAAUGAAUAUUCUUAUAAGCGGACGUACAUGGAAAUCAUGUUUAAUGAGAAAAGUAACCAGAAACACGAAAAAGGUUUUAAGUAAUUUUAAGUAAAGUUAAAGAGACAAGAAGAAGAACACAAAACAAAAAAAUUAAUUAAAAACUAAGAAAACGCGCAGCAGGAGUGCAAGAAAUGCAAGAACUUAUUAAAAUAUUAUAAAACCCAAAAAAACACAAAAAAAUCUAUACAACAAAAACACCGUAACUUAAGCAAACGAAAAAUAAAUACAUAACUGCAAAACAUGUGCGGCACAGUAAAGCAGUAAAAGAAAAACGUUUGCUUAUUCAUUGACAAAAAGUGUGCUGGACUACUCGAACGUGUGAACCAUGUGGAUGGGGUAAACAUAAUUUGUUUGUUUUCUGGCUUGUUGACAACUGAUAUAGCUCGUAAACUGUUAACAGUACGCAUGCAUGCCACUUCCAAGGUUAAUAUUAUGUAUGUUUGUAUGUAUGUACGCUUCAAUAACUCGAAAAAUGCUGCUGCAUGAAAAGGCGAAAAAAUCCAAUAACAAACAAUUCUUUCUUAGCACAUAUUUUACUGCAUUAUAUAUUUAUACAAGUGACUAAAAAAAUGUAGUAAACAGAAAAAUUUGUAAAAACAGAAACGAAAAAUUACAAUUAAAACUUGUAAGUUCAGGGAUUUUAUUGAACUGUUAACGAACAUUUAUUACGCAACUUCCGCGUAAAUGCUUAGGAGAAGCAUAAGUUGUCGCCUGUCAUUUCUUAUAUGGCCCGGCUGGUCUUGGCUUGCGAAAAGCGUGCAUGCGUCGCGCCGCUUGUAUCAGCAGUUGCGCUGCGUCGAGUCGCCUUAUCCCUAGACCAAACAAGCAUUCAUCGCCACAUUUCUUUUCUUCUUUGUUUUUUUUGGGGCAGUCGCGUCGUAAUUUCUACGCGUUUAAUUUAGUAACUGUAAUUUUUUUCUAAGCUAAGCAAAUUUCCAAACAUAUUUGUCUAUGUAUUGUUUCUUCCGCCGAAACUACCGCUUUCUUUGGCUACUUUUCGUAAAAGCUCCGCCUCACGCCUCACGCUUCAUGCUUUCUGUUGUUUGUUACGAGUUUUCUUCUUGCUCUUACUUUUCAUUUUUUUGCAACAUUUAAACAUUUUACUUGUAUAUUUUUAAAUAAAAAAAAUUCAAAUGUCAUUUCUUCAUGUAUGUAUGUAAACGCUUAAAUACCUAGUGUUAAUGAUCUAUUAUUAUCAUUUUAUUUUAUUUUAUUUUUUGUCCAUUUUAAGCGCUUUGAUAUUUUAUUUUAUUUUUUAAUUAUAAUUGUCUUACAUAUAUACAUAGUUAUAUAUAUAUUUCUGUGUAGUUUAAGUGCGUACGAUAAUACUGUAUGGAAAAAUGAAUAAAAGAAGAACUUUAAAUUUAAAUUAAUUAAAUUAUAGUAAAGGAACGUCGUUAUAAAAUCGAGAAGUAAAUAACACUUAUGUAGGUGUAUACAUGCGUUUAAUGCGCGCUUUUGCAGAGCAUUAAUCCAAAACAACAACAAAGAAGUGAAAACAGGCAAACGAAUCAACAAAGCAUAGAAGAUGCUUCAUUGGAAAGUAAAUUUUGUGCUUUCAACUCAAUAAUUGCCACAGUGUUGCUCUACUACAACUACAGAAGCAUUUCGCUGCUGCACAAAAUAUUGUAAAUUUCACUCAAACCACAAGACUUUGCAGUAUAACUAGCUUUUCGACUUGAUCAACACGCAGCUGUGUGGCAAUUAAAGUCUAACCCAACGAGCUCAAGCAUUACUUCGGCUACAUACCCGCCCCGUCCACACAGUUAUGCUUGCUUGACUUUCUACCUUUGUUUUUUAUUACUAACAUCCACUCUCUAUACAUGAAACCCCUUGUUAUUUCUCCCCCACAUAGUCCAUUCGGCUUUCUAUCUAUUUUGUAGACUUUCCGAUCUUUUCUAUUUCUCAAUCACUUCCAAAAACUUGCAUAUACUAUGGCAACAAAGAAGUAUACAUAUACACACACUCACGCGCAUACACAUGGAAAUAUAAAAGUAAAUAUAUGUAUAUAUAUGCAUAUAUAUAUAUAAAUAUAAAUACUUAUAUAUAGUAAUUAAAUUUAAAUUCAAACAAAACAUGCAUUAUGUAAUUAAGUAACGAAAAUAAAUUUGGAAUGAAAAUGAAAUGAAAUGAUAAAAGAAAAUGAGCAUGUAAAGCAGCGAGUGCGAAGCGUAAAUUUAACUGAAUAUACAAUAAAUAAAAAGUAUAUAAAUAACUGGAAAAAAGUCAUAUAAUAACCGUUAUAUUCAUAUUUUAGUUGUUAGUUGAUGCAAAGGGUUUAAAAUAUCUAGACCAAAUCGUGUUAGAAAGGCAAUUUGACAUCGCAGAUAACGGCUAUGGUUACUUUAAAGCUCGAGUUCUCAAGUGGCAUAUGUACAAUUGUCACAUUUUUUAUAAAAUUUUAAAGAACACAUUUAAAACUUCACGCUUUUUACUGGUUUGGAUUCAGAAACUAUUAAAUGCGCCUAAAACUGUGCUUAUUCAUAAAUAAUUUACAAAAUGUCUUGUUUCGACUGUUUCACUGAAUUGUAUAACAACGAAGAGGGCAUUAGUGAAAAUACUUGACGUCAAAACAUACAAAUAUGGCAUUUGUUGCUAGGAUAACAGUUUUAGUGUAAAGAAUCACAAUUGCAAACUUCGUGGUGGUCCAUACUUGAAAAAAAUAACAACAGCAUAGAAAAUUAUGCUUCUUUAAGAGAGUCGAAGCUUAAAAUUU